AACUGUUUAAUUAAAAAAAAACAGAUGCUCCGCAGGGCGCAGCUUUAUACGACCGCAGAGGUUGAACCCUGAACGGUUGGGGCAAGUAUGGACACAACAUUCAAGCUGGAUUCAGCUCUAAAUUUGGAUUGUGAUUAAAUAGUUGACACAGCAUAGGUUUUGGACACAGAAUGAAUGUGGUCUAAUAAACUUAAAAUAAUUUUUUUGUCUUUGAGCAAUCACUAUGCUGUUGAAUAUUAAUCCUCUCAAAAAAAUGUUUGAAGAAUUUU
This 269-nucleotide long non-coding RNA is filed under the name Mytilus galloprovincialis (Mediterranean mussel). The record is from RNAcentral. Lineage: Eukaryota; Metazoa; Mollusca; Bivalvia; Mytilida; Mytilidae.